Molecule: long non-coding RNA, 628 nt
Filed under: Homo sapiens (human)
Lineage: Eukaryota; Metazoa; Chordata; Mammalia; Primates; Hominidae
Description: non-protein coding lnc-PPIAL4F-3:7
Source: RNAcentral
CUCCGUCCCUUCUAUUCUCAGCGCCCGCCUGGCAGGACGACUGAGCAAGGCUUUGGAAAACCAGAGAGAUUAGAGCGGUGAGUUGCGCUGGUCACAUUGGAUACCUGCGCGUUAGGAGAUUCUGGAGCCAGACGGAGAGCCGAAUGGCCUUCGCCCGCCCUGCCCCUCUCUUGCUUCAGAAGCCCCCAGAAACUCCGCGGUCGGCGACCCAGCCCGAGCCGCCUGAGGUCCCAAGGGGAAGCUGAACGCCUGGUGGGCUCCCGGGAUGGUUCUUCCCGUUCUUUGUGCCGCCUUCACCCAGUGAAGGAGCCUGUAUCCACCCUGCUCAGUCGCUUUUGGGCUGCUGCGGAGCUUCCGCUGCCAUCUUCGGAUCCUGUGUUCCCCACCGGGGCUCCACCAGGGCAGGGAUGGUGCAGAAUGGGGAAAUGGAGAGAGAACCUGAAAGAGCCCCAAACUCGAGGACCUAUUGCUCCCCAAGAAUAACAUCUUCCAGAACUAGACAGAAACUAAGCGUCUGGAAACCCUGAAAUCCUUGGAGGAGUAGCAUCAUCCUGACCCUCUGUGCUCCUUUUGGCAAAGGACUUGCUUCCAUUGUUUGUUUGUUCAAUUGUCUGUUUGUUAAAUAAAU